RNAcentral lists this unclassified non-coding RNA (510 nucleotides) under Hevea brasiliensis (rubber tree). Lineage: Eukaryota; Viridiplantae; Streptophyta; Magnoliopsida; Malpighiales; Euphorbiaceae. The record is from RNAcentral.
UCAUCGGGAGCAGACCUUCGCGCUGCAGCUUCUUGCGCGCGAGCUUGCGGGCGCGGCGAACGGCUUCAGCCUUUUCGCGGGCCUUCUUCUCGGAGGGCUUUUCGUAAUGACCGCGGAGCUUCAUCUCGCGGAAAAUGCCCUCGCGCUGCAUCUUUUUCUUCAGCGCCUUGAGAGCCUGGUCGACAUUGUUAUCGCGGACGAGAACCUGCACGCGGCAUCCUCUUUGGUUUCAAUCAUGAAAUUCAGGAGACGACGAAGGACCGGCUAAAGGCCACGCCCUUCUCAUCGAAGGCGCGGAUGUACCAGAUCAAACCGGGAAUGUCCACCUGUGGAUGGCCUUUUUCAGGGGCCUGAAAGUCAUGAUUCCGGGGCAAAUUAGACGGGCCGGGCCCGCGAUUCGGGGGAAUUCAGAAGGAAGGCUUAAGACUCCCAUUUCUACGGUUCCCGAGGUGAUCCAACACCACGAUUCAGGGGAGACGUGACAUGAAUGCGAAGAAAUACGCCGCCGAG